ACAAAUAAAAUUCUACAUACACAUUUUAAAUGCACAAUGGUAUUCUGAUUUUAAAAAUUAACUUACUCCGCAGCUUUAUAAAUUCUAACAUGAAAUAACAUUCUCUAAAAUUCUUAAUCUACUGUAAUUAAGGGUCAAGGAGAAACAGAGCCUUCCCCAGCAGUAUUGGGCACAAGUCCUUGAUGGCAUACGAUGGAAGUCCAUUGCAGACCCAACCGCAAGAGUUCCAGGUGUAAAAUCCUUAAGUUGAGCAGCAAAUCUCUGGAAAUUUUGUUUUACAAGCAGACUCAUAGAAAAGUAAAGGUUUGUUGGUUUGUCUAUAACACAAUAUUCUAAAACGCACAACUCGAGAGAUGUGUACUAACACCACCAGUAGUAGUAGACCUCAUCAGACACUAGCAAGGUUUAUUCCAUUUGAUCUGGUAUUCUCCUAACACUUUGUAUCCUGCAUAGGCUUUCAAUAAUGUGAUAAAUUUUGUACAGACUUGUACAGAAUGUCAGAAAUGUUUUGGAGUUUUUAUUUCCUCCUGCUUACUCAAGUGAAAUAAAGAGCAGCAAAAGCACACAGUAUAUGGUAUUCACUAUGCAGUGAAGAAAAAUAACACCAAAAUAAGUAAGAAGGAAACUGUGUGAAUGUUUGUAAUACUCUUUAAUGGCAUGUCUGGUUAAGGGAUAAGCAAAGGCACCACCAAAAUGGCAUAGGGCAGAGCCCCCUUUCAUGGCCAAUUUGCCAAGUUUGGCAGCCCAGGCCAGUUUGUGUGUCAUUGUGGUUUGCAGUUUUACUUAUGAAGGACUUUCUGCACACCCUGUGCCAUCCUUUUUUCUACUAGGAUUUGGUUAACCUCGUCAGAUAUGAAGCCCUAGAAGUUCAACAGACAAGGUCACCAGGACAAGAGAGAGAGAGAGAUUGUGUGGGUAUGGGUGUGGGAGAGGGGUGAAUGGGGUUGGGUUGUAACCUGAAAUUAAAUGUUUAAUGCCCCCUCAGGACAUUAGAAGGUAUGGGAUCCAGCAGCUACCAGGGGUGUCUGACCCACUUAUCAAGUGAAAGUGAAAGGAAAUGGAAGGCUACCAAGAGGCUGCAAGACUUCCCGGCUGACAUAUGGUAUUGUAGUAUUACCAUCUCGGAAUAUAGGUAAAAGGUGCCUAAUAUACUGUAGGUACAAGAUUAAGAAAAACUGUGAGGAAGCCAAUAUACCCUCCUAAAAAAAAACUAUGGAUUUCUUUUAUGGUUAGGGGAAUGGGGAUGUUCGAUUGAAGUCAAAAAUUGACUUUCAGAGGGAGUAUAAGCUAAAUAGUGGCAAGACAUUUGAGUGUAGACUCUGAAUGAUCAUUAAGGAGAGGCUAACUGGUAGGGGCAUCAUACGUGGAUCAUGACAGAGUGAGAGAUCAAAUAGAGAAGGUUGCUAAGAAAAAGAGUAUGUUGUGUUGUUUAGCAGACAGACAUGUAGACAACCACUCCAUGUGGUAUACAAUGGUUCAGUUCCUAAAGGAAGGCUCAUUUGGACAAAAAAAUGUAAUUCUCUGCCUAUUGGUGUUGCCGUGUGUCCUUCCUUAUUCACCAAAUUAAUUAUUAUUAUUUAUUUGUAUGAUUAUUAAUUUUAUUAAUUUGGAUUAUUGUUAUGUGUUAGUAAGAAUAAAAUCACUAUUAUAUUUUAUUUGUGUGCUUCUUAAUAUUAUUCUAGUUGAGAAAAGACACCACAAGAGCACCCUCAUCUCUUACCAUAUAAUCCAUUUCAGGGUUUUGCAGGGCUGGAGUCUUUCCUGGCAACUGUGAACACAAGGCAGACAGUAACCCUGGUUAGUGGUGCGAGUCCUUCACCGCAGGGCCUCUUUACACAAUGAAAGAUACCUUUGCAGAACAUCCAUGAUAAAUAAAAGUAUACCACAACUGAAUUUUGUGGAGAGUGAGAUGCAAAUUUAUAUGCCUGGAGGAUUUCAGCAAUUUCAGUAAUGGCAACUCCCCUAGUUACAAUGAUUAAAGAAAACAUUUGACUGUCUUUAACAAUCAAGAAGGAUGCAGCAUUGAGAUCUCAAAGAUACUUUACAUUUUGCCAUUUUAUGAGAUUAGUUACAUAUAGUAAAACUGAACAUUAUAUUAUAGUCAUCCUGUAAAUUUUAUAUACAUAUAUAUUAGAGGUUUGUGCCUCCCUUGUAUACAGGUAUGUGUUAUAGUCCAGUAUUUCUUUGUAUCAGGUGAACUGUCUAAACCAUCUGUCUGACAUGAGUUUAGAGCUAAAUACGAGGGAGAUUCAAGCUAAAGUUAGAAAAUUGGAUUUAUUAGAAAAUGGAAUGAACCUUCCAAAUGGAAUGAACAACACUGAUAAUAUCAUUUCUCAAUCUGGUCUCCUACCUUCUCAAUGCACUUGUGUCACCUACCUGGAAGUGCCUGGAUUCCAGCAGAAUAAAAGAUUUUGUCUUGUCCUGGUAACUAAUUAUGCACUGCUUUCUUCAUGUCAUCAUUUGUCUUGAAUCGACAACCUCCCAGAUGUAUUUUUAGAGGUCCAAAAAGGUGGAAAUCACAUGGAACAAGGAGGAUGUGGCAAUACCUCAAACUUUAGUUUCUCCAGACAAGCC
Polypterus senegalus (gray bichir) is the source of this 2574-nucleotide long non-coding RNA. RefSeq lists it as uncharacterized. The record is from RefSeq and is a predicted model, not a curated record. Lineage: Eukaryota; Metazoa; Chordata; Cladistia; Polypteriformes; Polypteridae. The transcript is spliced from 3 exons.